UCGAGGCGCUGAGCGGGGCCCGGUGUGAGCAGCGUCGCGGUGCGAUGGGUUGGUUGCGGGUGCUCGGUGAGAGUUGCGAUUAGUAAUGCUUUGCGUGCGGGUACUUUGAACGUGGUUGCAGAGCGUUAUUGUGCGUUUAGUUUGGUGUUGGGUACCUUGUGGUGCAAUGGAAUUAAAGGCAAACUGAACAUCGUACGUUUUGCCGGUCGGGUUCGAUGUACGUAUUACAUUAGACUCAUUAGAGGCAGUGAGCGAAGGCAGGUGUGCGUGGCGUCGCAGAGUGGUGGAUUGGUUGCAGGUGCUCUGAGAGAGUUGCGACUCGGUGAUGGUCUGGGUGAGGGUGCUCCGAGUGCGGUUGCAGCUCGUCAUUGUGCUUUUUUUUUGUGUGUAGUGUAACGGCGUGUUCUGUGUUUAGUGUUACCAUAUUAUAUCGCCUCGGUCUCUCACCUCGAGCAUCGUUCAGUAAGUACCAUGCACAGGUUCAUCACGCAACAAGGACACCGCUGGAGCACCCCGUCGAACCAGAUAAGGAAAGCUAGUGUUUCCUAGGGUGUUAGGGCGAUAGGGUGUCAGGCUGCUAACCCAUCUUCCAUUUCAGGUACAAACUCAAAGGUAUUCUCUUUCAGGUACAUAUUAACGAGCAUUUUCUAGAUUUUCCCCAGACAACUGCCCUUGCAGAUCGACCAUGGCGGCGGUGAGGACGAAUGCAAGAAGAGAGACGGUAGUGGUAAAGGAGACUUCUUACACCUUGACUUGACGAAUAGAGAUUCCAGAAGAGUUGAAGCGAUGAGAGGCUGACACAGGAUCGUUCCAAACACAACAAAAAAAAAAAAUCUCGGUUAAAAGCGGAAGACUGGGCCACAUGGCAUUCUGGGGUCGCUGCAUCAA
Molecule: long non-coding RNA, 888 nt
Organism: Portunus trituberculatus (swimming crab)
Lineage: Eukaryota; Metazoa; Arthropoda; Malacostraca; Decapoda; Portunidae
Exons: 3
Source: RefSeq, a predicted model, not a curated record